Long non-coding RNA from Drosophila innubila, 719 nucleotides. RefSeq lists it as uncharacterized. The transcript is spliced from 2 exons. The record is from RefSeq and is a predicted model, not a curated record. Lineage: Eukaryota; Metazoa; Arthropoda; Insecta; Diptera; Drosophilidae.
UUAACGUAAUUUUUUAAUUUUGGAGAUAAAUCGACAAAAUUUGUAAAUUCAAGUUGCUGUCUAUAUUUAUGUGACGAGCACUGUGUGCUGCCAGCGUCGAGCAAACAAAAUCGAAAACGGGUUGCUGCUGCCUUUGGCGGGAGGAGACGUCGUCAGUACUGUCGGUCCUGUCGGUACUGCCCCAUGGCUUUUUCGUUCUGGCUCUGGCAAGUGGCAAGUGGCAAGUAGCAAGUAGCAAGUGGCAAGUGGUGAGAAGCGGACUGACGGAGUGCGGGGAAAGAGGCAAUCGUUGUAGUUGUAGUUGUUGGCUGGUCGGUCGGUCACUAACUGGUCGUGUUUGCAUUUAACGAACAACGCCACAGCAGCAACAAUAACAAUAAGGGGCAAUAACAAGCGUGCUUGCCGCACAUUCCGCGCCAAGGCCGCUAAUGGGCUGGGAGUCGUGUGGAGUGUGGAUUGUGGAGUGUGGAGUGUGGAUUGUGAUGUGCUGGUGUCGUGGCAGGACGUCAUGACGGGUGGUGGGGAUGUUGCUGUGUGGUGGUUAGUGGUGUUAGUGGGGCUAAUAAAAGCCUUGUUACAAUGAAAACAAAUCAAAUCGACGCCGAAGCCAUCCAUCAAGUCAAACCAAACUCGAGUUCAAAUGAUACGCUGCUAACGCAUACAAAUACGAAUACACCAAGAAUAACGGCCAACUUCUAAAAUAAAGAGUAUUUAUCUUA